CAGCCGCCGCGGGAAUACGGAGGGUGCAAGCGUUACUCGGAAUCACUGGGCGUAAAGGACGCGUAGGCGGAUUAUCAAGUCUCUUGUGAAAUCUAACGGCUUAACCGUUAAACUGCUUGGGAAACUGAUAAUCUAGAGUAAGGGAGAGGCAGAUGGAAUUCUUGGUGUAGGGGUAAAAUCCGUAGAUAUCAAGAAGAAUACCUAUUGCGAAGGCGAUCUGCUGGAACUUAACUGACGCUAAUGCGUGAAAGCGUGGGGAGCAAACAGGUUUAGAUACCCCAGUAGUCCCUGUCUCUUAUAC
This 301-nucleotide ribosomal RNA is filed under the name uncultured bacterium. Its description in RNAcentral is "partial 16S ribosomal RNA". It matches the Rfam family "Bacterial small subunit ribosomal RNA", at positions 509 to 807 of the family's 1533-position model. The record is from RNAcentral.